Molecule: ribosomal RNA, 479 nt
Filed under: Methylibium sp. BAC130P
Lineage: Bacteria; Pseudomonadati; Pseudomonadota; Betaproteobacteria; Burkholderiales; Sphaerotilaceae
Description: bacterial SSU rRNA
Rfam family: Bacterial small subunit ribosomal RNA
Source: RNAcentral
UUGACAUGUCUAGAAGUUACCAGAGAUGGCUUCGUGCUCGAAAGAGAACUAGAACACAGGUGCUGCAUGGCCGUCGUCAGCUCGUGUCGUGAGAUGUUGGGUUAAGUCCCGCAACGAGCGCAACCCUUGUCAUUAGUUGCUACGUAAGGGCACUCUAAUGAGACUGCCGGUGACAAACCGUAGUAAGGUGGGGAUGACGUCAGGUCAUCAUGGCCCUUAUGGGUAGGGCUACACACGUCAUACAAUGGCCGGUACAGAGGGCUGCCAACCCGCGAGGGGGAGCCAAUCCCAGAAAACCGGUCGUAGUCCGGAUCGCAGUCUGCAACUCGACUGCGUGAAGUCGGAAUCGCUAGUAAUCGCGGAUCAGCUUGCCGCGGUGAAUACGUUUCCGGGCCUUGUACACACCGCCCGUCACACCAUGCGAGCGGGUUCUGCAAGAAGUAGUUAGCCUAAUCGCAAGGGGGGCGAUUACCACGCCA